This 360-nucleotide ribosomal RNA is filed under the name uncultured Pelotomaculum sp. Its description in RNAcentral is "bacterial SSU rRNA". It matches the Rfam family "Bacterial small subunit ribosomal RNA", at positions 1024 to 1382 of the family's 1533-position model. Lineage: Bacteria; Bacillati; Bacillota; Clostridia; Eubacteriales; Desulfotomaculaceae. The record is from RNAcentral.
UACAUCGGUGACAGGUGGUGCAUGGUUGUCGUCAGCUCGUGUCGUGAGAUGUUGGGUUAAGUCCCGCAACGAGCGCAACCCCUACGUUUAGUUGCUAACAGGUGAAGCUGAGCACUCUAGACGAACUGCCGUUGACAAAACGGAGGAAGGUGGGGAUGACGUCAAAUCAUCAUGCCCCUUAUGUUCUGGGCUACACACGUGCUACAAUGGCCGGUACAGACGGAGGCGAAGCCGCGAGGCGGAGCAAAUCCGAAAAAGCCGGUCUCAGUUCGGAUUGCAGGCUGCAAUUCGCCUGCAUGAAGUCGGAAUCGCUAGUAAUCGCAGGUCAGCAUACUGCGGUCGAAUACGUUCCCGGGCCUU